GAUGAACGCUGGCGGCGUGCCUAAUACAUGCAAGUCGAGCGAACAGACGAGGAGCUUGCUCCUCUGACGUUAGCGGCGGACGGGUGAGUAACACGUGGAUAACCUACCUAUAAGACUGGGAUAACUUCGGGAAACCGGAGCUAAUACCGGAUAAUAUAUUGAACCGCAUGGUUCAAUAGUGAAAGACGGUUUUGCUGUCACUUAUAGAUGGAUCCGCGCCGCAUUAGCUAGUUGGUAAGGUAACGGCUUACCAAGGCAACGAUGCGUAGCCGACCUGAGAGGGUGAUCGGCCACACUGGAACUGAGACACGGUCCAGACUCCUAAGGGAGGCAGCAGUAGGGAAUCGUCCGCAAUGGGCGAAAGCUUGACGGAGCAACGCCGCGUGAGUGAUGAAGGUCUUCGGAUCGUAAAACUCUGUUAUUAGGGAAGAACAAAUGUGUAAGUAACUAUGCACGUCUUGACGGUACCUAAUCAGAAAGCCACGGCUAACUACGUG
RNAcentral lists this ribosomal RNA (497 nucleotides) under uncultured bacterium. Its description in RNAcentral is "partial 16S ribosomal RNA". It matches the Rfam family "Bacterial small subunit ribosomal RNA", at positions 28 to 507 of the family's 1533-position model. The record is from RNAcentral.